Molecule: transfer RNA, 91 nt
Filed under: Ralstonia pickettii
Lineage: Bacteria; Pseudomonadati; Pseudomonadota; Betaproteobacteria; Burkholderiales; Burkholderiaceae
Also listed under: 30 other names
Description: tRNA-Leu
Rfam family: tRNA
About the family: Transfer RNA (tRNA) molecules are approximately 80 nucleotides in length. Their secondary structure includes four short double-helical elements and three loops (D, anti-codon, and T loops).
Source: RNAcentral
GCCCGGAUGGUGAAAUUGGUAGACACCGCGGACUUAAAAUCCGCUGCGCCCUAAUCGGCGCGUGCCGGUUCGAUCCCGGCUCCGGGCACCA